CUACACACCGUGGUCAGUGCGUACUGACGUCGUUUGUUUGCGUUUACGAAAUAUAUCCAUCAUUUAUUUUGUCUGAAUAAACAAUCGUGAAUUGGUUAACGGAAACACUCCGUGUUGAUACCAUUAUUAUUAUUACUUAUUAUUUUAGUGAUGUGCUGAAAGGUCGAUCGUAAUAGUUAUCGGUUCCGAUAACAUGGAUAGGCUCAAGAGGCCCUUUUCCUUGUUUAAAUCGGCCAAAAAAGACGAACCGUCUCAAGAUAGCGUAGCUUCCGAAAAAUCGUUCCGGGAUAAAGUAGAUUUUUUCGAAAAGUCGAUAGAUUCCGAAGAUAGACGGGAUAAUGGUAAAACUUCAAAAUAAUAAUUAUAUAUUUAUAUCUACCUAUAGAUGUUUUAUUUUUUUUUUUAAACGGCUGUGAUCAAAAAAGUGUAAAAUUUUGCGAACAUUAAAUAAACCAAAUAUUAGCUACUAUAAAUAUCAGCUAUUUCCUACUAUUUUAAUAAUAUUAUUAUAAAAUAAUAUCGUAAGGUUAUAACCUACCAAGGUUACCUUAUAUUAUGUUUUUAAUAUUUGUAGGGCAAUAAUGGAAAUAAACAACAUAACAGCCUAGUGAUAACACACGGUUCGUAAAAAUGAUAUAGGUAGGAAAAUAUAGGUAGAUAAAUAGAUAAAGUUUGAUUCGAUUAAUUACAAUAGAUAUUUUGUAAAAUUAAAAUUUACUCGAAUUAUUAAAAACAAAUAAUGAUUUAAAUAAUGUAUAUACCUAUUUAAAAUGAAAAACCGAUUUGUAAAAAAUCUAUACCUAAAUUCACUAUUGUUACACGAGUGAUACGAGUUUAUAUUAGAUUAGGUAUGACCAACGAGAGCAAUUUCUUUACGACAACCAUAUGGUUUUUUAGUUUUUUUAAUUUUUCCGAGAAAUAAUUUCAGAACGUCGCGGAAUAGGAACAGAAUAUAGACGGCAUGCAACUCUAAUCUAUAGUUUAGAUAUUAUGUUUCUCGCAUGACAGAUGGCAAAGCACAUGGUACAUUAAAGAGGUAUUAUUUUGUUUUUCAUGCAAUUUUGAACGAUACAGUGAAAAAAAAACUAGUGUUCUAAAAACUACAGUCAUUUAAAUGCGACCACUUUUGUUUUUUGAAAUCGCUAGAACCGAGCCGUUAUAACAUUGCUUUCAAGUUUUAGAUCCAAAAUCCAAUGUUAAAUAUAUGAAUAUUAGAUUUUCAAUAUCUAUAAUCAAACACAGGCUCGUUGGUAUUCAGGUUGGUCGGGGAGCAAGUGCACCAUUUUCGAGUACAUUUAGAGGACGUUAUACCAGCAUGUGCUGUCUCUGUCUUCAAACCGCGUGACAUUGCAAAUUUUCGUUCAGCAGGGACAACUCUGCGCUGUUAGUUUUAAUAUUAGAGUGAAUUAACCGCUAUUUUAAACUUAAAGAUAAGAAUAUUACUUAUGUCACGUCGUCGUGUUUUUUUCGUAGUUUUAAUUUUUGAGUGAGUAUGAGUGCGUGAAAUAUCACGCUUUAAAAAUGCUUAUAUAUCGCUUAGAAAUUAAAAUAAGAAGAAAAAAUACCGACGAUAACCCGACACAUAUAAUGUUCUUAUCUUUAAGUUUGACAAUAGGUCAAUUCACUCUAAUAUUAAAACUAACAGCACAGAGAAAGUGUUAUGCCUGCUGAACGAAAAUUUGCUAUGUCGCGUGAUUUUAAAACGGAGACAGCACAAUAUGCUGGUAUAACGUCCUCUUAAGGGGACGAACAAUUUAUAUGAACGCUACAUUAUUAUUACAUAUUUGAUAUUACUAACAAUCAGUAAUAUUAUAUAAUUGUACCAGACAAAAUCUUAUCUUUUAUGCCAUUUUAUAGAAUAUUUUUAUGUAGUUUUUCAGUAUGACUUUCAAAAUAAAAAAAGCAUACAUUUUUUUAUAUUUCAAGAUUCAGUCUAAAAUAUUUAUUUAAAAAAAAAAAAAAAUGAAAAAUGAUCAUAGGUAUUAAAUUUAUUUUGUUCCCAAAAUAAUACACGUAGGUAUCUUAAAUUUCGAAAUAAAACUUUUGUUUUAGAGGUGAAGCACUUAAAAUUUAAGUACAUGUUUAAUAUGCCCUGUGCAUAAAACGUAUAAAUUCCGGUCAGUGUUUGGAUUUUGAUAAUUUCGGUUUCUGACUAGUAUUUAAACUGUUACUUGUAUUUGUAUCGGUUAGUUCUUCAGUAUUUAUCUUAUUCCAUUUUCAAUAGUAGGGAAACUCUCUCUAUUUUUGAAAUAUUUUCAGCAUACUCAUAAAUUAAUAAAUGUUGUUCUGUUACAAGCAAAUAGGUAUAUAUUUCCCAAAGAACCUAUUUUCAUUAAAAAUGCGGAUCAAAUAAUUAUUUCACAUAAGUAGGUAUCUAACCAUAAUAUUUACGAUAAUUAAUAAUGACAUCAAAACAAUCAAAAUUUCAAUAACUGAAAUGAGUUCAUAGAUACAAUGUUCAUUGUAUCUAUUAAAUCUAUGUAUACAUAUUAUAUAAUAACAUGUCCUGAUUGAGUAACUGACUGAUUCAUUAUCGCCUAGCCCAAACUACUGAACGGAUCAGGCUGAAAUUUGGCAUAAAGACAGCUAUUAAGAAAUAGAUAUCCGCUAAGAAAGGAUUUUUGAAAAUUACUUUUCUUAGGGGAGUCGAAUAGGAGUUUUUAGGUAUUUUUGGUAUGAAUAUCUAAUUGUUUAUUCAUGGGUUACCUUGGUGACAGAUGAAAAUUUGGUUGUCACGGACAAGAAAACUAUUAUUAGUAUUAUUAUUUACACUAUUAUCUAGCAAUAGCAAAGAAUUCCCGGGUCAGCUAGUAUGAUAUAUUUACAUUUUUUUGUUUGUUUUUUUUUAUUUAAGUAUUAUACAAUCUGUAAAAUAAUAUUUACAAUAAGAUAGUUAGUUAGCUAAUAAGUCCCGACACCACGUUCGCUUUAAACGCCUUCUGGGGUUGAGUGAGUGUAUAAUUCAGCUAUUAGUGGAUUCCUACUGGAGAUCCUGUUUGUGGGUACUGAAAUGGAGACGUUUGUAGAAGGUUUUGGCUGUUUAUAACUAUUUGUAUAUGAAGGUCUUUAUAUCGUUGGAGACAUAGUAUGGAGCUUUGUUAUUUAUUCUUUUUUGGUAUAUUUAUAUGAGUAGGUAAUAGAUACGCUGUAAAUUAUUAUUUAAAAAAAAAAAUAAAUAUAUUAUUGUGUGUAUAGGUCACUAAGUCAAUUGGAUUAGAUAAUAUUUUACGUGUGUUCUUAAAUGAUAAAAAUUAUAAUCUUAAAUAUUAAAGCGUUAAAAUAUUUUAUUGCAAUUAAACCAUUAACCAUUUAAGUACCUAAUAUUAUAAAGGAUAGGUACUUAAAUAUACUUAGAAUACUCAGGUAAUUAUUUAAAUAGGAGCUGUAGAUUAGGUUUUUUCAAAACCCAUCGGCUAAAUCUUUUGGAUUUAGUGAAAAUAAAUUGAUCAGUUUUGAAUACUGUAAAUUAUUAUUUUGUAUUCAUAAGAUAUUUUUAAUUUGUUUUAUUAUAAUUUAUAAUGUAUAUGUAGGUAUUAUAUAAUAUUAUUGGUUAUUUUUUUUCGAGAUUUGUAUCUGCUUAGAUGUUUCAUUUCGAUAAUAAUAUAAAUACCCUGUCAUUACUAUUUAUGUGUAAUAAAAUUGAUCUCGUAUACUAAAUAUUUACUAUUUAGGCAGCCUACGUGGUGGGCUAAUUAAAGUUGUGAUAUUAUCACAACUUUAUUUAGCGGACUAAUUUGCGGACCUACCUAUAUAAUAUAAUAUAUUAUAUAAAAUAAUUAUAAGUACAAAAUUCUAUAUUUCAUUUAGUGAACAUUAUUUUUACCUUAGGUAGUUAAUUAAUGUUUAUCUAACAUUGAAAAACAUAAUGUAAAUGUCUACUUAAAUUAUAUUAUUAUAAAAAAUGUAUACUUAUUCAAUGAAAAUAUUAAUGCUAGAUAGGUAGGUAGAUAAAAUUUAUUUUAUUCAGUUACACACAUAAAUAAUAUUAUCAUUAUAAAUGUAUAAUCUAUAUAUACUAAGCAUAUAGGUAGUAUUUUUUUUUUUUUUGAUAACUUUUAGUGGUUAAAUAUUAAUUUUAAGUUCUAUAAAGAUUUUAUCGUGGUAAAAAUAUAAUGGUUCGAUUUUUAAAAUACUCAGAAAAUGUCAUCAAUGAUAAUUCUCCGAUAUUCUUACUUAUUAUAUUUUAAUAAUCCACUAUAAUUAUUACAUUAGAAAACACUUCAUAUACUUUACAUUUAUAAAAUAUGUAUUAUAAUAUUUUUAUUAUUAAUAAUGACUUAUAAUCAAUCACGUGAUAACAUUUAGGUACGUUACACAUUUUAUCGACCUAGUAAAUCCAUUUUUGAAAAGUAAGUACCUUCACCUAUUUCAUAUUUGUAAUCAAACAUUUAUAUAGAUUGUCGAAAAAAAAAAUGAUGAUUAAUUACAUAAUGAUUAUAUUAUAUUAUAUAUCUCUAAUAAUAAUUUUCUUCUUUUCUCAGUUAAUAUUUGAAAUAUUUCACUAUAUUAUUGUUAUUUAUGCAAUCUUCCAUUCGCUUAUUUGUAAAUAACUUCUCACGGGAGUACGUAGAAUAAUAUAAUAUUUGCAAUAUUGCAUUUCAAUCACACUAUAGUUCUAAUAAUUUUCAAGUAUGUGUUGUGCUAAAAUUAUAUUUAAACGAAUUUUGAAUUGUAGGUCAAAUACUUUCAGCUAGACAAAAUUUUUUUUAUAAUCAAUAAUAAUUAACAUACAUUUGAUAUUUUUUAUAAUAAUUAAUAUUAUUUAAAAAUUUGUCUACGUGAAUAUAAUAAUAACUAUUAUAAUCUCGUAAGUAAACACCUUUUUGGUAAUAAUAUGCGCUACCUAUAACUAAAUACCGAUUUGGAAAAUUACAGUACGUGCUGUUUUGCAAAAACAAAACCCAUUAUUAUCGACGCAUAAAUUUGUAUGUAUAACGGCUUAUGAAACCGGUUUAAAUGUUUUCUUCUUUUUAUGGCUCGAAGAUAAAUAAAAUAAAAUGGUAUUUUUUUAAAUUUGCUCGGUGCGGUCGUUUAAUUUGGACGCCUACGAAUCAGUUCCCGAGCGUUUAUCGGAUUGUUCUCCCAAAUCGAUUUUCGGAUAUUUUUUCGAUAACAGUGCACGGGGAAAGUUUACUGACUUUUUAAAAAUAAAAAGGUAGCAAAUAAUCUGGUUAAGUUAAAUAUUGUUUGGUUACCGACAUUAUAUAUACAUAUUAUAUUUUAUGUCUGGUUUCCUUAUUUGGUUUUGGAUAUACGUUAAAAAAAAAAAAAAAACAUGGACUUAACAAUAGGAAGGAAAUGUUUACAUGGUGACAGACAUAACCGUUAUUAUUAUUUCAUUUCGCAUUUGGUAACCUUUCUAUAACAUCAUUUAGAUACUACAUUUUCAAAAUAUAGAAUAUAAAGUAUAUGAUAAAUGUACAAGAUAAAUAAAAAUUAAACACUUUCUGUACAUGGACUGUAUAUUUUAAUAAUAUAAUAUAAUAUAGAAAAUAUCUAUUCGAUUAACUAAUCAGUUUUUUGGUAUGUACGCGUAACCAUGACCGAAUGUAUCGGCAAUAUAUGGUACAAUUUUUUAUUUCGACUGACAUUUUUAAAAAAAACUUAAUUACCCGUACCUUAAACUGAUUAUAGUAAAAGAGAGAAGAGAUACUGAGACGUGCUGGCUAGCAUAAAAAUUCCGUUAAAUCUUUCGCAAAGAUCAAAUAAGCUCGGGCUAUAGAAAUAGAAUGUCUUAUACAUUCAGGAAUUGGGAGACGUCUCUUCUCAAGCAGAUCGAUUGAAUUACCAAUCUAAUGAAACGCCAGAGUAGUCAUCAUAGAGAUGACAUCAAUAACAAGCCCAAUAUUUGGCUUAAGUCCCUUUUUUUGACCAAAAUAAUCAUUAAAACUACUGAUUCGACUUGUCGAUUGACAUGCGGUUGUGUUUUCAGACAAUACGUAUGAUGAAAUUUCUAUUGAAAUAUACAUAUGAAUUUAUGAUAAUCAAAAAAAAAAAUACUAUGUGGGCACACAUCCUUGCUCUUUAGCACUUACAGGGGUAUGGCCGUAUGGAUAGAAACGAGCCGGAGACGUGUAAAAUUGAAUUUUUUAAAAAAAGUAAAUUAUAUCGAUAAUCUAUCUUAAAAUCAAUGGCAUAAUUAAAUUUGUGCAAUGUGCAACAAAGUGGAUGGGAAUAACUAAUAUUUGAAUAAGUAUAUUAUGAAAAUAACAAGGCAAUUUGAAAUUAAAUCAUUACAAUACGGAAUCAAUAGAUAUUUUCACAAAACUCAAGUGUUGAAAAAUCAUUUGCAGACUUUGCCAAUUUAUGUACAUUUUGUGACCAACGAAAACUAACGUACUCGUAUAUCCCAUAUUUACCCACCAUUAAUUUAUACUUUAUAGAUUACCUGUAGUUAUUAUUUACUUUAUCUGUAUAUUUAUUAUCCUAUUUUACCUUAUUAUUGUCACACACGAGUGAAUCACUAUUGAAUUAAAUUAUCAUUAGUACAAAUACGCGGAACAGGAUAUAAAAACUGGGCGUUAGACCCUCCUUUUGCUGACCUCAGUGCUAACCUACGAGUUUAAUUAUUUUUGAUUUGAUUGAGACGCUUUUCCAAAAUGUAAGAUCGUAUAAAGUGUACAAAUGGUGUUUUCUGAAAUAUAUUAAACACAAUAUUAUUAUUUUAUACAUUUUAAUAUUAUAAAUUUCAAAGAAAUCCCUAAUAAUAUUGUAACAACAAUUAUUGGCAAUAAAUAUUAUCAUAUAUUCUUAUAUCUCUGAUAAUGACCUAUAUAAAUCGUUAAUUAUUAUUAUAUUAUUAUACACGUUCUUUAACAUAGUAAUAUGAACGAAUCAACCGAAUAUACUAUAUCGAGUACAUAAACACUUAUUCUUUUGACAAUUAUUUGAUUGUUGAUUUUGUAAAAGCGUAUACUUUUGAUUAUAUACUAUCGAAAUAUCUUUUAUACAAAAAUACGCCCGACAGCGACGAUAAAACGAGGUGACUGCUACAUAAUCGUAGCACCUAACGGUCAAUUUAUGUAUAAAAAGAAAAACUAGAAAGCCAGUACAUAUUAUUAUUGUGAUUGUUUUAUACAUCCUUGCAACGUUUUUCCAGUACAUGAUACUAUACUCAUAUAGAUAGACCAGUGUUGUUGGCUAGGAAGGUAUAGGAUAUAUAUUUUAUAUGAUAAUUUAAUUUAUAUCAGUAACUUAACAACAAAAUAAAUUAUAAUUGUCAGUAUUUCGAAUAUUUUAAUUGUGUCGAAAAAAUUAUAUCCACAUAAAUAAAAAACAUGGACAUUAAUAGAAAUAAAAUAAGUUAUAAAUAUUAUAAUAACUCAUUCCUAAACGAUUUUAGAAUUAAAAAAACAUGUUUUUAUGAAAAUUUAAAGAAGACAACAUUCUACAAUACAUACUUAUUCUCAAAACUUAGAUAAUUUCCCCUUCGAUAUGCAUCUACUAGAAAUAGAUAAUAAUAUACUGUUAUUUCGAAAUUUUAAACGAGUUUAAUUAUAAAAUAAUAAUAAUAAACGAGAUUAUCGACAAAUAUUCACGUAAUUCUCUCGAAAAUUUAAUCUACUUUCCUUUUUAUAAUAUAUGUUAUUAUUCUAUAGUUACUGCGUUAUCCAGUGUAGUUAAUAGUUACCAAUUAUUGUUAGGUACUCAGUUACUUCGAAUCGAACAUAUUUUUCGUGCCUACCGAAAAACGCUUGUGUAACAUCCUCUUAACAUAUUUUAUUUUAAUUAUACCAUUAAUUGGUUUUCCACAAUACAUUUCCAAUAACCCAUUUAUAAACUAUUAAAAAUAUUUUUUUUAUACUUGCGAAAUUGACAUCUUAAAUAUAAUGUAAAUAUUUGUUUUUGAUAAGUAGGUAUAUUAUUAUGUAGUUGUUUAUCACUUUUAUAUUAACCUGUUUAUUUAAUUUUAAGACUCAUUUUUCACACGCUCAAUAGUAUACCAUAUUAUUAUAGUUCAAUUAGAUAAACUUAAAUAAUAUGACACAAUAGGUAUUGUUUAAAAAAGAAAAAAAGAAAUUGAAUGUUAUUGACCCAUUUUUUGAGAGUUUGGUUAGAGAAUAGGUUUUCAUGCGCAAAUUAUUCGGGAUAAAAAAUAUAUAGACGGUUAAUAAAAUGGGCCACUUAGUGGUUGUGUGUUCGUUAUAAUACUAGAAAGUUAAACUAAUGUAAAACAGUGAAAGGCAGGGUAUCGGGCGAUCAUCUUGUUUCGCUCAUUUUGAAGUAUAUCAUGGUAAUAUAUUAUUUUUAAUUUGAACGCUACACUAUUAUUGAAUAUCAAAAAUGAUUCCUAACAGAAUUCAACAAUUAUUUUUAAAUGCGGAUUUUUGAUUAUUUUCAUGCCUAUUACACAAAUGAUUAAAGUAAAAUUUUUAUCAAGUGCCACCAAUAUUCUGUUUAAUUUCCUAUUUACAUAUAUCGUUGUGUAUUUAUGAUAAAUAUUUAUUGUAGACAGUUCCUAUUUAUAAAAAAUACAAAUAUAAGUAUUAAACUAAUAGCUCUCAUAUUCUGUUGAGAUUUAAAGUGGAUAAUAUGUUUUAAACAAUAUAGUAUAAUGAACAUUAUAGUAUUAGAAAUUUGGAUUAAUGUCAAACUUAAGUAAUUAUUUUGAAUCCCAAUUUCAGCGUACAUAAUAUGUUUAAUCAUUUAAAUUUUUUUCAAUUACAUAUUUUACCUUAUGAAAAAAAUUCUUUACAGUUUUAAGAAUGGAAAGACAAUUAUUGUAUAAAAGAAAAUAAUAUAAUUAACUGCAAAUUCGGAAAAACUGGUACUUAUUUUAUUUCUACGUGUUCAAUUUGUAUUUGUUUUAAAAAUAUUUAGGUUUUGUAAAAAUGAUAUUUUUUGGCAAAUUUCAAAAUCCACUAAAAAUAUUUUAAUAAGCAAUUUUAUAGGUAUAUAUGAUAAGAUUAGUUUAUACAUGGAAAUAAAAAUGAAAUAAUUUUUUAAAUAGCAAAUAUAUAUUUAUAGAUUUUAAUCAUAACUUACCUUAAAUGAUUAACUAUAACAUUAUGAAAGAGGUACCAUCAUAAUAAUGUUUUUUAUUUAUCAUCCUGUACGUAACCAUAUAGUAUAAUAAUGUAGGUCAUAUUAUUAUGAGGCGUUUAGUAUAGGCAAUUUAUAUUUUGAUUUGCAUUAUGAAAUAGUACUUUUAUUAUACAUUAGUAUUAAAAAUACAAUUCAAAAUAUUGUUAUAUAUGUCGUAGGCCAUAUGGAAAAUUAGUUUUUUUGCGAAAAGACUAGUCUCUUUGCAAUGGGGUAACCCGUUUACGAACUACUUUUAUUUUUCUAAACGGCCUGCUGUUUUUCAGGUUAUUGCUUACAGACUAACAGUAGUUAGGUCUUUUAAGAACUGCAAUCAUUAGAAUAUAGUAACAACCAUUUUACUUAUUUUAUUUUAUGGGUAAUUUAUUACUUUUAUAAAAAAAUAAGACAUAAAAUUAUUAUAAAAUAAUAAUACAAUUAUAUUACAUGUAAAACUGAAUAAGUAUAUAUUAUUAUAUAGUAUUAUAUUUUUGUAAAAUAAAACUAGUAAUACAAUAGUUAAAAACUUUAAAAUAAUCUAAACUACACUGAUACUCACCAUUGAUACAGUUUAUAAAAUAAAUAUAAUACCUACUGUAUAAUAAGUACCAUAUUUAAUCAGACUAUUCAGUUUACAUGUUAUAAUAAUUCUAUUGAUCUUUUUUUUUGUAGAAAUAAUAAAUUAUCCUAAAAAUGAAAUAAGUAAAAUAACUAUUACUAUAUUUUAAUGAUUGUACUUCUUAAAAGGCCUAACUGCUGUUAGUCUACAUGCAAUAAACCUGAAAAACAGUAAACCGUUUGGACAAAUAAUAAGUAGUUCACAAACGGGUUACCUCAUUGCAAAGAGUCUUGUCUUUUCGCAAAAAGACUAAUUUUACAUAUGGCCUACGACAUACACAAGUAAUACCUAUAUAUACAUUAUAAUAUUCCAAUUAAACACGGAAAUAUAAUCACAAAAAUAUAAUACUAUUAUUAUAUUAGACAUAUUAAUGUUAAAAUGUAAACAUUUAAAACAAGUUUUAUAAAUUACUGUCUACGAAAAAUAAUGUAUUUCAUCAUAAUAACUACUUAUAUUAUACUCAAUGUAUUAUUUAAUGUUUGCAAAUAAAUUAUACUAAAUACGAUCACAGUCGUAGAAGUCAUAGAAGUUAAUAAUAUUAUCAUUAAAUAUAAUACAUUUUCACUAAACAGCGAUUAGCAGCGCAGGGGGAUUGGUUGAUGGGUCGGGUGAUGAAACUUUUGAGGAAGUGCUUGAAGAACGUGACGUAUACACAAAAGAUGGUCGGAAAAAAGGAAAAAUGGUUAUCGUUAAUAAAGUUACGGUACACAGGAGUGUGAAAACUGUUACUAGCCCUGAACUAAGUCCUAUGGUCAAACAUUCAAUAUCGUUUGAUCGAGAAAAUCCAAUGAGCAUAUCCUCGUCUAGAGAGAGUCUUUCAUCGCCAAAUACUUGGAGGAAGUUAUUCGUCGGUACCCGGUCACAAUUUGACUUGCACAUUGAAGAAAUAAAAAGUAAGCGAUAUAAAAUAUUAUGUUUAAAAAUCUAAACAGAUAAUUGUCUAAACGUAUUCUGUUAUGUAAUAUUAUAAAAAACGCAAUCAUUCAAUUUGUGUCAAUCAUUUUUUAGACUUUAUACACUUUCUAUUAAAAUGACGAUCUUGAAAUGUCAACUUUGAUAUAUAUAUCUUAUAUUGUUUUUUUUUUUAUAAAAUAAGAGUUUUAAAAAGUUUGCUUAAUUUUUCUAUGGCUUAAAAUGUUGAAUGAAACGAUAAUUUAUUGGAGGUUUUUUUUUUCGCGAAAGUAGGUAAACACCAUUAUAAUAAUAAAUUGAUACAUUUAUUACCAAUAACCAUUAUAUAUUUAGGGGACGACAUUCAGCACUGCGUUCAACAUUAAAUACUGAAUUAAGUACAUCAUUCUCCCCUCAUACAGCUAGUAUAAACCAUAUCUAUCCAUGCUAAUAUUUUUUAACCUUUGUGUAAAUUAAUACUAUCAUUAGUAUAUUCUCAGUAUUUUUUUAAACGAUAAGUGUAUUAAAUAUGUACUUUUAUUAACUAUGUAAAAUAUUAUAAUUUAUAAAUUAUUAUAUAUUGUACUCAUAAAUUAUAAAAUUAAAAAUGAAGUUUUUGACGUUACGGCCAAAACGCUGCGGACCUAAAAAAAAUAAAAAUCUAUUUGUGGGUCGUGGUUCGUGACCCAUAACUCGGGAACCGUUGAUUUAUGUUAUAUUUUUAAUAGCGUUAUCGUCAUUUACAAUAGAAAAAUCCCAUGUUUGCAUAGAUACCUAUAAUAUGUGUUUGUGUGUUUAUUUUUUAAUUAAUCAGCCAUAGCAAUAAUACGUCGUUACGUUUUAGAUUUUUUGUUUUCUUUGGAUAUGCAUUUGUUUCACGGUUGAUAUGAUGUAUAGAACUAUACACGCAGGAAUAUUAUGCAAACUCAAUAUUUGUAUAAUAUACACAUUUGGUCUUUAGCAUAGAAAGUUUUUUGACUUUUGAUGUUACCUACAGCGUGCCUAUGAUAUAAAACUUAGGUUCCUAUGUAUAGUUUUACACUUAUUAUUCACAAAUCAUAGGUAUACAAAUCUACAGCUUAUUUUUAUUUUGAUACGAUUGCUCUACAUAUUAGUAUUAUAUAAUCCUUAAAAAGAACAAAUAAAAACUAGAAUAUUUGGCUAUUUCCCAAAAAAUAAUUUUUUUUUUCAGAUUCAUUAAAUGAUGUUAUCAUAGUAGCACUGGUCUAUAAAUGUACAUGAUUUAUUUAUUCUGCACGCUUUUAACUAUACUAUAUUACCAGUUAAAGUUAAAAUUACUCGUUUAUGGAAAUUAAAAAUAUUGUACUACCUAUUCUUUAAUUUCGAGUCUCUCUUUCCGAUAAAUAAACUACCAUUGUAAUAAUGGUCCGUCCGUCCGUCGUAAAACAAGCGAUGUAACAGUUUAUUUCUAUAGAGGUUAAAAUUAAAAUAGCAUCGAAUAAGUCUAAUCAGUUUCAGUAGAUUUUAAGAAAGUAUAUUGUGCAUUUUACGUCUUAUUUAUAGCCGCUAAUAAAUCCCCGGAUGAAGUAGGCUAGUCAAAUUAUUCUACUAGUGCUUUCGGCCAAAAUAAAUAAAAUCGAUUAGAAAAAAAAUUUAUUCAAUAAUGGCAAAGUGUAAAUUAUUUUAAAAAUCAUUGUUGCCGUUAAAAAGGUAUUAAUUACAUUAUUUUUUCAAAAGAAACCCGCGUAAUAAUUAUUUUAAACAUAUUAGGUAUAUGUAUAGUUAUGUUUUAUUUUUAAAAUAACAUUUUGCAAUGUCAUUUAUGAAUUUAGCUAGUAUAUGUAUAUGAAUACAAUUUAGUUUUAUAUGACAAAAAUAAAUAUAUAUAUAUAUAUAUAUAUUAGAUUAUAUUUCAUUUUGGUACUGAUAUUUUUAAUAUAUAUAGUUUUACAAUUUUAUUAUAAUUAAGUUAUUAAAAUAUAAUAUUAUGAACCAUAGGUACCUACCUCAAUUCGUGGUACCUAUUAUCAAAUUAAUUAAAACUAUUUAAAACAGUUUUUUUUUUUUUUAUAAACGCAGUUUUCUAUAAACCUAAAAUUAUUUCAUUGUCUAAUUUUAUUUAACUAAAAGCUAUUACAAAGAUUUGAAGUCACGCGACGUGAAAACUGUGUUAUUUUACUUGUAAAAUUUACUUUAUAGUCCAUCCACUCAAUAAUAGGUACCUAUGGGUAAAAUAUACUCAAACUUUUGUCUAUAGUGUAAGUUACCUUGUAAUUAUAACGUAAUCAAAAAAAAGUUUUGUUAUCACGAUAUAUUUAUUGAAAAAUUAGGUUAGGUUAAGUUAAAACGAUCAAACCUAACAGUAUAAUAUUUUUAGACAGGCAUAUAAUAAAGGUCUGGUCCUUAUUAUCAGACAUUUGUAUUUGUAAAUUACACGUCAGAAAAUUUUAAAACUAUAAAUAUUAUACAAAUCAAAUACAACAAUUACAUUUAAAGCAGUUUAUUAUCAUUAAUUAUUUGCUCAUUUUACGAGCGGGAAUCCAAAAUUUAAUACAAUAUUUGAUACUUACAUAAUAUUAUUAAUUUAAGUAUAAGUAUUAAGUAUAAAUUCAUAUUAGCCAGUAUUAAAAAAAUAGGUAUUAGGUAUAGUUACCAAAACAUACAGUACAUACUUAUAAGAACGCUCUGUCAAUUUUUGACAUAUAACGAUUUUUAAAUUAUUUAGGUUUUUAUACAAAUACAUCUACUUACGCAUAAUAUACUAAAUUAUCAAAUUCUUUCAAAAUUAUGUAUAGAAAUAUAGUUUAUUGCUUUAAAUAUGAUUAGAAACCGAGAACUAUGCACGCUCGCAGAAAAAUCGCGUUCCAAAGUUCUAUGUUUCCAUAGUAACAAAUAAUACAAAAUUGUUAAGUACAACAUAAACUAUAUAAUAAAUGAUACAAAUGUCAUAUAAUGAAACUAUGUGAUAAAAUAUAUUGUUUUAUAUUAUUAUGUAUAAUAUAUAAAUCACUAUAGUUGCAGAAAGGGAGCAUGUUCAAUUUCUGGAGAAAUUGAGUUUAUUACCUGGUUUGUAUAUACCUACCUUGAAUACAUAAUUUUGUAAAAAUAUAACUAGUUCAUUAAACCGUUAUGAAUAUCUCAAUACAUUACUGUGAUAACGUGGUUUUUAUAUAGAGUAACUCUAUGGGUUUUUGAUUAGAUCUUAUCAUUAUCAACCUGCAAUAGUUUUUCAUCCCGUUAUUGAUUUAAUCUACUUCUGAGUCUGUUGUAAAAAUAAUAUUCAAUCUUUUUUAUUUUAAAAUACUUUUGAAUUAUAAAAAAAAAAAAAAAAUAUUUUGUCAAUCAAGCUACCCAAGAAGGAGCUAUACACACAAAAUAUCCCCACAAUAAAUUAAAAAAUGAAUUAUUUGGAAUGUCUGAAUCCCUACAUUCUAAAAGAUUCUGUUUCCAGAUUUUGGGAAACAAUUUACGAGUAGCCAACUCGUUCGCAACUUAAAUAAUAAACUUUAAUAUUAAAUAAUUAACUAAAUAAUAAUUAUCUAAAAUGGCAGCAAAUGGUGCGUUGAUGUUAAUUUUUAAAAAUAUCGAGUUGAUUUAUUUUUAAAAAGGUUUGUAAAAAUUCUAGCCUAGACAGGUUUUUAUGCCAUUCUGGAAAAUUCAGUUUUAAGAAUAGGUAUGUUCCCUUUCUGAAAUUAGUGAUUCAUAUAUUCUCUUACAAUGCUAUACAGAAGAGGAGGUUGUGCAUAACGUUGAAAUGAGGGAAGACAAAUUGAGAAAUUGAAGCAUAUUUAAUAUGAUUAAAUCGUCUAUUAAACCCAAACACAUAUCCAUGAUUCUAUAUUUGUCCGAACAAUGGGUAAUGUUUUUUUUUGUUUUCAUAGAAAUUGUUUUACAGCAAUUCACCAUUCUUCGAUGUUACUUACUUUUUUAUUAAUUUCUUUAUAUGAAAUAAAUAUAUUUUGAUAUAUCCAUCACAUGUCCAACCCAUUUGUUUUUUUUUUCUUAAUUCUUUUCAUAAAAUUGUCCAUAAAACUCUUCCCAUAAAUGAGUCGUUGAUAUAUUGAUAACUUAAUUUGUGAUGGCUUACAGGUGUCCUACAAUGUUAUUAUUAUGCUAAUAAUUCUGUCAAUAUUCAUUUUUUUUUUCAUACGGGUUUUGUUCGAGAAGGGUAAAUGUAGAGAAAAAUUAAAUUUUUAUUUUCAUCUCUUUUAAAAUAGUCAUAUUAUAAAAGAUAAUUUUCUUCAAAUUUAAAUAUAACAUAUAUUCAUAUCCGAUCAAUAUUUUCUUUGUAGUAGCUGUUUUGAUUUUAGAAAAUAGAUGUGAAAACAAUUAAUAUGCAAAAAAAAAAAAUGAAUAUGUAUAGAGUUAUUAGUAUUAGAAUAAUACUGUAUGACACUCUGUAUAAUCUACGUCAUUAGCAGGGGAAGGGGUGCCUUUCAAAAUGCAUCUAAGUGACACACUGAUGACAAUCUUAUAAUUAUAAAUCAAGGUAAUUCAGGUACAAUCUUAGGUAUUUAGUUAUUCACAUUGAUAAAGAUCAAUGUGUAAAAUAAAAUAAUAUUAUUAAUUGUUUUUAAUACCUAUUCAAUUAAUUUACUUACGCAUUUACAUAGCACAUCGCAUAUCUACAAAUUUACAAUUGUGUUUUUAAUUAACCUACUUCUAAAAUUAUUAAAUGAUAUAAAUGCACGUAAUUUUUUUAAGAUUUAAUUUUAACACAAUCAUUGAAAAGAUUUAAACUCCAAUUUAUGUUAUUAUGUAUUAUAUUAAAUCUAUAUUAUUAUAUUUAUUAGCCAUUGUUAUAUUAUAAAAUAAAUAUUCGUUAUUAUAUGGCAGUGCCAAAUGGUCGACCGCGAUCGAUCAGUAGAUCGCAGAUGAUUUAAAUGUCGAUCUCCACUUUGUUAGAAUUUAUUUUUAUGUAAUUUGUAGGUAAAUAAUAAUAAUUGCUGAUCUUUUUUAUAUUAAUAUAUUAUCUUUAUUUUGGUGUAAAUUUAUCAAAUAAUACUUAUAAUUCAACAGAGUUUAUUCUGGCGAUUGUAUUUACAGUAAUAUUACCUAUAUUAAUGUUAAUACUAGUCCGAUGAAAAACAUUAUAUAACUAUAAAUUUUAGUUUUAUUAUUUUGUAUAUGCAUGUUUAUUAUUAAUACCUAUUAGAUAAUUUAUAAUCAUACAUUUUUGUUAGGAAGUCGAUCCUCAAAAGAAAAAUACAUUUUUAGUAGAUCUUUACCAAAAAAAAGUUUGGCCACCCCUGUUAUACGGCAUACGCUAUGGUAAAAAUAUAAUAUAAUAAUAAUUAAUUAUAAGUACCUAUUACUCACCUGAAUUUUUUUGUUGGUACCUAAUAUUACAAAGAUAGUUCUAGAUAAAAAUAAAUAAAAGUAGGUACAAAGUUAAAAUAUAUUAAAUAUUAAAUCAUAAAUAUAGGUAUAAGUAAAAAUGUGUAUAAAACAUGCAUUUAAAUGUAUUUUUAAUCUUAUAAAAUUGUACGUGAAUAUAAUUAUAUAUUAUUUACACCUACGUCAAAAAACCGUGUUGAAAAAUAUAUAAAUUUGAUUGGCUUUUUAAUGUUUUUAUACAUACAAUGCAAAAUAUAACUAAUAUUUGUCCUUAGAAUUUAAUACUCUGUGAAAAUCGAUCAAUUCAUUGAAUAAAUAAACGAUAAAACUAGAAUUAAUUACCUAUUAAUAAUGGCAGCUUAACAAAUUAUGUUGUAUUGUUUAUAUUUUGAACAAGUUUUAUUAUUUACAAUAUGCAUCAAGCUUGAAUGUACGUUGUUUAAGAUUUUAUGUUUUUUUUUAUUUUCGUAUUAUUUGUUUCUAAAGACUAAAAUUAUCUGUUUGUUUAUAGCUAGCAAUCUAUAACAACUUUUCUAUCAGAACUAUUUCUCCUUCUUAUCAUCAACUUUAAGGGUGGUCAUUUUCUUUAUAGUUAUUUUAAUAUGUAGUUGAGAAAAUCCAGGAAAAACGUUAAAAAAAUUAAACAAUUUAUGCAAUAAUGUUUUCUGUUAUUCGAUCUACUGAUAGCCAUUUGAAAAUAUCGAGUUUUUUUUAGUUUUAUGUGGAUAAAAUUGUUUAAGUCCAGUAAAAAUACUAAUAAAUACAACACAAGGUGGGCCAUAAGUAGUACGUGUUAAUAAAUAUUGUUUUAAACUAUUAUUAUUAUUAUUUUUUUUUUUUUAAAAAACCUUCAAGUUUGUAUGAAAACUGUAAAAACCGCGGCAUUUAAAAAUAAUGUUUAGCUGAAAUUUGCUCAGAAUCGUAUUUUUUAUUUAUCGUUGCUUACAAAUUUAAAUUAAAUUACUCUAUAAUAUAUCUCAACUUCCCAACUUGUGUUUUGCUUUUUUUUUGAGUUGUAAAAAAUGAAACUGUAGUGCGGUAUUCCUAAGCCGUUUAAUAAUAGUAUCGAUUAAACAUUAUGUCCCUUAUUGCAUUAUUAUUAUGUCAGUUUGUAUAUACCAGCACGGUGACAACCUAAAAUAAAAACGAGUGAUCUAUUAUCCUAUAUAUAAUUUAUGUUUUUGGAGCAAUAUUAUAAAUUGCAAUUGUACACGGAAUCUUUGAGUUUACUAUUAUUUUAAAAAAAAUAAAAUAAAACAGCCCUAAGGCGCAUGUAAGUAACUAAUAUAGUGUUGGUAUGUUUCAUAUUGUAGACGAACAAGAGAGAGUGCAGAAGAAGACUUUUGUUAACUGGAUAAACUCGUAUUUGUGUCAAGUAACGUAUUUUUACUAAAUAUCGUAAAUAUUAUUAGGUAUAUUACCUAGUUUAUCAUAUUGUGUUUAUUGUGUUAUCGUAGAGAAUACCGCCACUAAAAAUAGAAGACUUGAUUGAAGAUCUUAAAGAUGGUACUAGGCUUCUUGCAUUACUGGAAGUUUUAUCAGGAGAAAAUUUGGUAACUAAUUAUAGUUUAUAAUUGUAAUGUAUCUUUUAAAAUACCUGUGCCUAAUUUAAAGAUUCAUAUGAUACAUACCUAUUAUAUUUUAAGGCUAUUGAACGCGGUCGUAACAUGAGGAGACCUCAUUUUUUGAGUAAUGUUAAUACUGCAAUACAAUUUUUACAAAGCAAACGGGUAAGUUAUAAUUUUAUGAUUGGGUACUAAACUAUUUUAAUAUGUACGAAAUAUGAUGUUUAUUUAUGUAUUCUAUAUUUUUAAUUUAGAUCAAAUUAGUAAAUAUAAAUUCUGCCGAUAUCGUGGAUGGACGACCUCCUAUUGUUUUAGGGCUCAUCUGGACUAUAAUUUUAUAUUUUCA
Molecule: non-coding RNA, 17740 nt
Organism: Cinara cedri
Lineage: Eukaryota; Metazoa; Arthropoda; Insecta; Hemiptera; Aphididae
Source: the annotation of a GenBank genome assembly